AAAGAAACAAAGAGUGAAGAUGCAAUAACAGCACUGGAAACCGGCAGAGAGGAGGCUGCUCCGGUGUCCGAUGAAGGAGCCGGUGCCGGCGCCAUCUCGGUGCUUUGAGCUGAAGCAGCAGCCAUUGCAACAGCUGCCAAAACGAACAUCAUCAUAACGGACUUUAAGCUGCUAAUUUGCGCCAUCUAUAUUUAUAUUAAUUGCUGAAGAAAAACAAGAAGCAAGAACUAUAUAUGAAAACAAAGAAUUGAUUCAGUAAGCAAGUUAUGGGCAAUGGCUCCGUUAAAUGUUAGGUGGUGCUUAUAUAGUGAGGUGUAUGCGCGGCUUGUGGAGCCCGCUUCGAUCUGUGUGACAGCAAACGUGUUGUGUUUGGUUUGGUUUUCGCCCAAAGCGUAUCUUGACAGACUCAGAUUGGUCGGAACUAAAAACAUGGGACCGAGUGGGAUCUGGAACACGUUGGCACGUGGUAGUUGGACUCACGAUGUUGACCAUUGUUAAGUCGGUAAACGGUUGCGUGCCUUAAAUAUGUAGUUUACAAGCAUGUGUAAUGAAUUGAUUAGAAUCUACAGAUUGACAGUGGGUAAAGAUCAUUAAAUUAAAAAAAAAAAAAAGUAUUGAAGGGGUUCCAAAUCCUCCAUUUCUAAGAAAUGAUUCGUUCCUAAAGUUCUGAGUAUCCAUCUUCUAUUUAUUGAUGACCCUUUGAUGUUUAACUUAGAGUUUGAUUUAUAAAAAAAUAUUAGAGUAAUUUGAAGGAUCAUUCUUACUCCUCUAAUGAUCUCUCUCUCAUUUGUUAGAUGAGAAAAUGGUCGGUCACUACUAGUUAGAAUCUUGAUAUGUUAUCUAUUUAUCUAGUACAAUCUUAGACGAGAGUUAUUUUUUUUUUCCCCUUAAUUCCUUCAUUGUCAUUAUUUUUAUUUCCUUUUAAUUACUUAAGGUCAUGGAUACAUGGUUCAAUAGGAAUUUGCUAUACAAAUUUGGCAAUAGAGAAGGGCUUUUGUGAGGCUAUCUGAGACAGUCUAGUAGUGUUUUGUCACGUGACAUAACAGUGGUCUCAUUAUGGGAUCAACAGUAAUUCUUAUAAUAAGAUCCAUUAAAUUUAAUAUUAAAAAUAUCAGUGAAUCUUACAAUAGAACCCAUCGCUCUGCCAACUUUAAAGUGUUUCAUUACCUCAACAUGCUCAGCUAAUAAGAGAGUUCCGCACAUAAUUUUUUUCUUGGCAAAAUCAUCACAUUAAGAAAGUUUUAAGAGGUGCCACCAUGUGUAUGUAUUGUAUAAUCUACAAUUUUAUAAACAUAUAAAGCCAAGAGUUAAAAAGACACUCAACCCACAGGAUUUGUGCUAAUGCACGGUAGUCUUCCAUUUGUUUCAAGAGUGAAUAGACAAAUAUUCAAGAAAUAAAAAUAUUUAUAUACGAGUCAUCAUAUAAUAUAGGAUCCUGAUCUAUUUUUCGCGGUCGUAUAAUCACUUCCCAAAUGAAAGCUAGACACCAGUUAAUGUACUGCCUUAAUUGCUCCAUUAACCAAACCUGUCAGUGCCUACAGACCUCCAAAACUGGAACUGGAUAUCAUGAUUAUAUAUGUUUAUACGCUGCUCACCAACCCGUAGACCAAUCAUCGCCAGCACGUAUAUAUAUACGCGGCAUUGCUGUACCUGCACGUGGCUACCUCAGACGAAAAGAAGCUCUUAUAUAUAACCAUCACAAACGUUGAACCGAACCACUUGUAAGCUCGGAUAGCAGUUUCAAGUUCUUCAACACUUUUAACAGUAUUUAUAUAAUACAAUGGCGACAGUUAGCAGCUCAAAAAAGGCCGUGAAUGCGAUGAUGGGGUUGGUUUUGGCAACUUUUGCAAUGGCUGCUUCCGUGUCGGCGCAAAGUACCGAGAUGGCGCCGGCGCCGGCUCCUUCGAUGGAUACCGGAAUUGGCUUCUCUCUGCCGGUUUCUCUAGCCGUCGUUGGUUCUUCCCUCGUUUUAUCUCUUCUUGCCCUGUUGAAGCAUUGAAUGGAAAUUCGUUGUGUGUAAAAAAAGAGGUUGUAUUUUGAGGAAAUGGAGAUAUAGUAUUGCAUUUAUUCUUUGCUUGUUUGUUAUCAAUAUUUGUAUUAUCAAUAAAUUAUUAAUUAAUAAUAUUUCAUCUUUUUUUUUCACUUUAUUCAUUUGGUUUUUCUUCUUUACUACUGAGAAAAAAAAUCUAUAAAAAAUCUUAAUUUCCAUUAAACGGGCCCAUUGAUGACUCAUUCUUUUAUUUUUUUGAUAACAAUCUGUAGGCAUGCUGUUGCAAUUUUCUUGUAUCAAAUAAAAAAUAAUUAGUUAACAUUUCUUAAAACAAAAUUGCAUAUCUCGUAAUUUUUUUCUUUAAAUUGGUGGCAACUAAUUAGAGCGUGGGCUUAGCAGAUGUUUUUACAAAUUGAAGAGCAAAACUGAAAUUAAUCCUUAAUCUUGGCAAAUAAACUCAAGCUCUUCUGCCCCUAGAGGUGCUUGAUUUAAUAGUUUUUAAACAGUUUCAUUUAACUGAUUAAGAGACAAUAAGAAAUUAAAAUCUCAAAAUCUCAACUGGAUCCCAUUUCAACCAUUUUUUUUAAUUUUUUAUUUUACAUCAAAUUUUCAAAUUCAAUAUUCUGAUUUAUUUGUAAAUUAGAUCUUUGAUACUAGAGAAUUAGCAAUUUUAAUUGUAUCUUGGAUGUUUUUCAUUUCAAUUUCGAAUCUUUUUUAAAAUAUCAUCAAAAUGUCAAUUUAUUAUUAAUUAGAAUAUGGUAAGCAAAACAUUUAGACUAUUUGGGACAUUGAUACGAGACCCGUACACAUUUUAAAGCAUGAUCGUACAACCGGAAUGAGGUAAAGUUUUAAAAUUCCCUUUAAAUAAGAUUAUCCUCCUUUCUUAUCAAUAGUAAAGUUUUAAAAUUCCCUUUAAAUAAGAUUAUCUUCCUUUCUUAUCAAUAUUGAAAAGUGAUUGUUUUCUCUUCAAAUAAUAUUAUAUUUUUUAUAUUAUCAAUAUUGAAAAGAUAGAAAUAAUAUAAUUAUAUUAUUAAAAAUAAUAUAAUUUAACAUAAAUUUAUUUUUAUUCAAAGAGUAUUUAAGAAAAUUUAUUUUUUACUGUUCUAUUUGUCACAUAUUUAAGUAAAUAAGUACCUAAAAAAAUAUUAAAUGAACCAUUUGGAGAUAUUUUCACUUUAUAUUAUUAUUUGAACAAGUGUAAUCUAAUCAUAAUUUUAAGUUCCGAUUGUCCAACUUUAAUACCAACUCAGGCCUUAACUUGUUCUCGUUAGAAAUUAACAUACUGCUUAAAUAAUAAUAAUAAACUACAAGUGAUUGAACUCAAAAGAAAAACCAAAUGAAUACAGAAAGAAUAAGUAUUAUUAUGUCAUUAAUAGUAUGAAAUAUGAAACGAACAAAUGAAUAAUUCAAUACAUUAAUCUCCAAUCAUCCUCGAAAAUAAUAUCUUAGUAAUAACUAUGAUUUUCUUCCAUUACCAAACGACUUAGUGCUUCAGGAGAGCGAGAAGAGAAACAAACAGCGAAGAUGCAAUAACAGCACCGGAAACCGGAAGAGAAGAGGCUGCUCCGGUGUCCAAUGAAGGAGAUGGUGCCGGGGCCAUCUCGGUGCUUUGAGCUGAAGCAGCAGCCA
Molecule: long non-coding RNA, 3619 nt
Filed under: Citrus maxima (pomelo)
Lineage: Eukaryota; Viridiplantae; Streptophyta; Magnoliopsida; Sapindales; Rutaceae
Description: long non-coding RNA (CMAX_LNC003947)
Source: RNAcentral